RNAcentral lists this ribosomal RNA (760 nucleotides) under uncultured eubacterium WD270. RNAcentral's name for it is "bacterial SSU rRNA". It matches the Rfam family "Bacterial small subunit ribosomal RNA", at positions 9 to 764 of the family's 1533-position model. The record is from RNAcentral.
GAGUUUGAUCCUGGCUCAGAUUGAACGCUGGCGGCAUGCCUUACACAUGCAAGUCGAACGGCAGCGCGGGAGCAAUCCUGGCGGCGAGUGGCGAACGGGUGAGUAAUACAUCGGAACGUGCCCAAUCGUGGGGGAUAACGCAGCGAAAGCUGUGCUAAUACCGCAUACGAUCUACGGAUGAAAGCAGGGGAUCGCAAGACCUUGCGCGAAUGGAGCGGCCGAUGGCAGAUUAGGUAGUUGGUGAGGUAAAGGCUCACCAAGCCUUCGAUCUGUAGCUGGUCUGAGAGGACGACCAGCCACACUGGGACUGAGACACGGCCCAGACUCCUACGGGAGGCAGCAGUGGGGAAUUUUGGACAAUGGGCGAAAGCCUGAUCCAGCCAUGCCGCGUGCAGGAUGAAGGCCUUCGGGUUGUAAACUGCUUUUGUACGGAACGAAACGGUCUUCUCUAAUAAAGAGGGCUAAUGACGGUACCGUAAGAAUAAGCACCGGCUAACUACGUGCCAGCAGCCGCGGUAAUACGUAGGGUGCAAGCGUUAAUCGGAAUUACUGGGCGUAAAGCGUGCGCAGGCGGUUAUGUAAGACAGUUGUGAAAUCCCCGGGCUCAACCUGGGAACUGCAUCUGUGACUGCAUAGCUAGAGUACGGUAGAGGGGGAUGGAAUUCCGCGUGUAGCAGUGAAAUGCGUAGAUAUGCGGAGGAACACCGAUGGCGAAGGCAAUCCCCUGGACCUGUACUGACGCUCAUGCACGAAAGCGUGG